AACGAACGCUGGCGGCAUGCCUAACACAUGCAAGUCGAACGAGACCUUCGGGUCUAGUGGCGCACGGGUGCGUAACGCGUGGGAACCUGCCCCUAGGUUCGGAAUAACUCCCCGAAAGGGGUGCUAAUACCGGAUAAUGUCUUCGGACCAAAGAUUUAUCGCCUUUGGAUGGGCCCGCGUUGGAUUAGCUAGUUGGUAGGGUAAAAGCCUACCAAGGCGACGAUCCAUAGCUGGUCUGAGAGGAUGAUCAGCCACACUGGGACUGAGACACGGCCCAGACUCCUACGGGAGGCAGCAGUGGGGAAUAUUGGAAAAUGGGCGAAAGCCUGAUCCAGCAAUGCCGCGUGAGUGAUGAAGGCCUUAGGGUUGUAAAGCUCUUUUACCCGGGAUGAUAAUGACAGUACCGGGAGAAUAAGCUCCGGCUAACUCCGUG
This 433-nucleotide ribosomal RNA is filed under the name uncultured bacterium. Its description in RNAcentral is "partial 16S ribosomal RNA". It matches the Rfam family "Bacterial small subunit ribosomal RNA", at positions 29 to 507 of the family's 1533-position model. The record is from RNAcentral.